This 388-nucleotide RNase P RNA is filed under the name Corynebacterium sp. RNAcentral's name for it is "RNase P RNA component class A". It matches the Rfam family "Bacterial RNase P class A". From Rfam's summary of the family: Ribonuclease P (RNase P) is a ubiquitous endoribonuclease, found in archaea, bacteria and eukarya as well as chloroplasts and mitochondria. Its best characterised activity is the generation of mature 5'-ends of tRNAs by cleaving the 5'-leader elements of precursor-tRNAs. Cellular RNase Ps are ribonucleoproteins. Lineage: Bacteria; Bacillati; Actinomycetota; Actinomycetes; Mycobacteriales; Corynebacteriaceae. The record is from RNAcentral.
UGAGCCAUCCGGGUGGACGCGGCGGGUGUAUCGGCAUUUCAAGUGUGGCUGACAUCGGGUCGAGGAAAGUCCGGACUCCAUAGAGCGUGGUGGUUGCUAACGGCAACCCAGGGUGACCUGCGGGAUAGUGCCACAGAAAUGAGACCGCCCAGCGAUGGGUAAGGGUGAAACGGUGCGGUAAGAGCGCACCAGCGAUCGAGGUGACUCGGUUGGCUAGGUAAACCCCACUAGGAGCAAGGCAAGAGGGCGUACAUUUGUAUGCCUGUUCGAACGUUUGAGGUUGCUCGCUGAGUUCGAAGGUAUGCUGCUUGAGGCCUUCCAGCAAUGGUUGUGCCCAGAUGGAUGUUCACCUGUGAAACAGAAUCCGGCUUAUAGGGUGGCUCAUUCG